RNAcentral lists this ribosomal RNA (942 nucleotides) under Cortinarius semisanguineus. RNAcentral describes it as "eukaryotic LSU rRNA". It matches the Rfam family "Eukaryotic large subunit ribosomal RNA", at positions 1 to 930 of the family's 3401-position model. The record is from RNAcentral. Lineage: Eukaryota; Fungi; Basidiomycota; Agaricomycetes; Agaricales; Cortinariaceae.
UGUGACCUCAAAUCAGGUAGGACUACCCGCUGAACUUAACCAUAUCAAUAAGCGGAGGAAAAGAAACUAACAAGGAUUCCCCUAGUAACUGCAAGUGAAGCGGGAAAAGCUCAAUUUAAAAUCUGGCAGUCUUUGGCUGUCCGAGUUGUAAUCUAGAGAAGUGUUAUCCGCGCUGGACCGUGUACAAGUCUCUGGAAUGGAGCGUCAUAGAGGGUGAGAAUCCCGUCUUGACACGGACUACCAGGGCUUUGUGAUGCGCUCUCAAAGAGUCGAGUUGUUUGGGAAUGCAGCUCAAAAUGGGUGGUAAAUUCCAUCUAAAGCUAAAUAUUGGCGAGAGACCGAUAGCGAACAAGUACCGUGAGGGAAAGAUGAAAAGAACUUUGGAAAGAGAGUUAAACAGUACGUGAAAUUGCUGAAAGGGAAACGCUUGAAGUCAGUCGCGUUGUCCAGGGAUCAACCUUGCUUUUGCUUGGUGCACUUUCUGGUUGACGGGUCAGCAUCAAUUUUGACCAUUGGAAAAAGAUUAAGGGAAUGUGGCAUCUUUGGAUGUGUUAUAGCCCUUGGUUGCAUACGAUGGUUGGGAUUGAGGAACUCAGCACGCCGCAAGGCCGGGUUUUUAACCACGUACGUGCUUAGGAUGCUGGCAUAAUGGCUUUAAUCGACCCGUCUUGAAACACGGACCAAGGAGUCUAACAUGCCUGCGAGUGUUUGGGUGGAAAACCCGAGCGCGUAAUGAAAGUGAAAGUUGAGAUCCCUGUCGUGGGGAGCAUCGACGCCCGGACCAGACCUUUUGUGACGGUUCCGCGGUAGAGCAUGUAUGUUGGGACCCGAAAGAUGGUGAACUAUGCCUGAAUAGGGUGAAGCCAGAGGAAACUCUGGUGGAGGCUCGUAGCGAUUCUGACGUGCAAAUCGAUCGUCAAAUUUGGGUAUAGGGGCGAAAGA